Molecule: unclassified non-coding RNA, 316 nt
Filed under: uncultured Hypocreales
Lineage: Eukaryota; Fungi; Ascomycota; Sordariomycetes; Hypocreales
Description: sequence contains ITS1
Rfam family: 5.8S ribosomal RNA (bases 1-105)
Source: RNAcentral
GAAAUGCGAUAAGUAAUGUGAAUUGCAGAAUUCAGUGAAUCAUCGAAUCUUUGAACGCACAUUGCGCCCGCCAGCACUCUGGCGGGCAUGCCUGUCCGAGCGUCAUUUCAACCCUCAGGACCCCUUCGGGGGACCUGGCGUUGGGGAUCGGCCCGCCCUCGUGCGGGCCGGCCCCGAAUUACAGUGGCGGCCCCAUCGCGAGCUCCCCUGCGCAGUAGCGAUACCUCGCAGCCGGAUAGCGGUGCGGCCACGCCGUAAAACACCCCACUUCUUCAAGGUUGACCUCGGAUCAGGUAGGAAUACCCGCUGAACUUAA